RNAcentral lists this ribosomal RNA (460 nucleotides) under uncultured bacterium. RNAcentral describes it as "partial 16S ribosomal RNA". It matches the Rfam family "Bacterial small subunit ribosomal RNA", at positions 338 to 795 of the family's 1533-position model. The record is from RNAcentral.
CCUACGGGAGGCAGCAGUGAGGAAUAUUGGUCAAUGGUCGAGAGUCUGAACCAGCCAAGUAGCGUGAAGGAUGACUGCCCUAUGGGUUGUAAACUUCUUUUAUACGGGAAUAAAAUGUUUCACGUGUGGGAUUUUGUAUGUACCAUAUGAAUAAGGAUCGGCUAACUCCGUGCCAGCAGCCGCGGUAAUACGGAGGAUCCGAGCGUUAUCCGGAUUUAUUGGGUUUAAAGGGAGCGUAGGUGGAUUGUUAAGUCAGUUGUGAAAGUGUGUGGCUCAAGCGUAAAAUUGCGGUUGAAACUGGCAGUCUUGAGUACAGUAGAGGUGUGCGGAAUUCGUGGUGUAGCGGUGAAAUGCUUAGAUAUCACGAAGAACUCCGAUUGCGAAGGCAGUUCACUGGACUGCAACUGACACUGAGGCUCGAAAGUGUGGGUAUCAAACAGGAUUAGAUACCCUUGUAGUC